Molecule: ribosomal RNA, 796 nt
Filed under: uncultured Pseudomonadota bacterium
Lineage: Bacteria; Pseudomonadati; Pseudomonadota
Description: bacterial SSU rRNA
Rfam family: Bacterial small subunit ribosomal RNA
Source: RNAcentral
AAAGUGGAGCAAUCCAUGAGUAGAGUGGCAAACGGGUGAGUAACACGUGGGUGACCUGCCUUCGAGCGGGGGAUAACGUCCCGAAAGGGACGCUAAUACCGCAUAACAUCCUGCCUUUUAAGAGGUGGAGAUCAAAGCCGGGGAUCGCAAGACCUGGCACUUGAAGAGGGGCCCGCGCCUGAUUAGCUAGUUGGUGGGGUAAUGGCUCACCAAGGCAACGAUCAGUAUCCGGCCUGAGAGGGCGGACGGACACACUGGGACUGAGACACGGCCCAGACUCCUACGGGAGGCAGCAGUGGGGAAUUGUUCGCAAUGGGCGCAAGCCUGACGACGCAACGCCGCGUGGAGGAUGAAGACCUUCGGGUCGUAAACUCCUUUCGAUCGAGACGAAUGGUUUCCGGGUGAACAAUCCGGAGAAAUGACGGUACCGAGAGAAGAAGCCCCGGCUAACUCCGUGCCAGCAGCCGCGGUAAUACGGGGGGGGCAAGCGUUGUUCGGAAUUACUGGGCGUAAAGGGCUCGUAGGUGGCCAACUAAGUCAGACGUGAAAUCCCUCAGCUUAACUGGGGAACUGCGUCUGAUACUGGAUGGCUUGAGUUUGGGAGAGGGAUGCGGAAUUCCAGGUGUAGCGGUGAAAUGCGUAGAUAUCUGGAGGAACACCGGUGGCGAAGGCGGCAUCCUGGACCAAUACUGACACUGAGGAGCGAAAGCCAGGGGAGCAAACGGGAUUAGAUACCCCGGUAGUCCUGGCCCUAAACAAUGAAUGCUUGGUGUGGCGGGUAUCGAUCCCUGCCGUG